Long non-coding RNA from Rosa rugosa (rugosa rose), 872 nucleotides. RefSeq lists it as uncharacterized. NCBI's taxonomy places the organism in Eukaryota, Viridiplantae, Streptophyta, Magnoliopsida, Rosales, Rosaceae. The transcript is spliced from 3 exons. The record is from RefSeq and is a predicted model, not a curated record.
CCUUGGAGAGAAUGUUUGCAAACCAGCUACUCAAAUGUGCAAAAGAUCAAUUAUCAUUUAGGGCCGUGACUCAGAUCUCCAAUGCUGCAAAUUGUUCUCAUGUCAUAAAUACAAAUUCUUGGUCUGACAGUGGUCAUGUUUGGCCACACUGGGCAAUACCAAACCAGUACCAAAGAUAGAUCUGCAUCCUGUCAUCAAGGUGCUAUUUUCCGAGUGCAGCAUGCAACAGCACUGAGUCUCAACUAAGGUGUAUUCAUUUGAGAGGCAACUUCCAUCCUUGAAGAACAAGUGAACAACCAAUUGGAUAUUGCAGGUUCAAUUGAUGACAAAUAUGCGAAAUUUCCACAUUAAUUUGGAUGUAGAAAGCUACUUUACAUACUGUACAUGCCCAUAUCACUACUUUGAAUAAUAAUAUUUGUCUGACAUUAGAAUAUAAUUUUUUUGUGUAAACAUUUACAUCAGCUAUGAUGUUUAUUUGUUAUGAGUGAAAGGUACUUUUAAUACACAUGCAAAUGGUGUUUACUUGCUAGAUCCCUAUGAAGUGAAAGAUCAGAACCUCUUAUUGCGACAAUCAUUUUUGACUGUCGCAGUUUUUUUUAUUACCCCACAAAGUAUUUGCGACGGAUAAAAAGUGUCGCAUCUUUGUCGCAAAAGGUUUUUACGACGCUUGUUUACGCGUCGUAUUUAAUGAAACUAUUUAUGACAUAAAUUAUUGCGACACUUGAAGAAACGUCGCAAAACCGUCGCGAAAGGUAUUUGCGACGCCUCUUAAAGCGUCGUAAAAAACAAAAAAGUAUUUGCUACACGAUUUAUGACGACGCUUCAAUAAGCGUCGCAAAACCGUCGCAAAAAGUUAUUUGCGACGUUUUUUG